AUACGAAGGGGGCUAGCGUUGUUCGGAUUUACUGGGCGUAAAGCGCACGCAGGCGGAUUGAUUAGUUAGGGGUGAAAUCCCGAGGCUCAACCUCGGAACUGCCUCUAAAACUGUCAAUCUCGAGACCGGAAGAGGUGAGUGGAACUCCUAGUGUAGAGGUGGAAUUCGUAGAUAUUAGGAAGAACACCAGUGGCGAAGGCGGCUCACUGGUCCGGUACUGACGCUGAGGUGCGAAAGCGUGGGGAGCGAACAGGAUUAGAAACCCUUGUAGUCC
Molecule: ribosomal RNA, 274 nt
Filed under: uncultured bacterium
Lineage: Bacteria
Description: partial 16S ribosomal RNA
Rfam family: Bacterial small subunit ribosomal RNA
Source: RNAcentral